Ricinus communis (castor bean) is the source of this 1788-nucleotide RNA transcript. It is a transcript of the gene named UDP-glucuronic acid decarboxylase 1, with no coding region annotated. The transcript is spliced from 8 exons. The record is from RefSeq and is a predicted model, not a curated record. Lineage: Eukaryota; Viridiplantae; Streptophyta; Magnoliopsida; Malpighiales; Euphorbiaceae.
GUAAUGAUGAAUCUAACAAAAUAAACCAGCCAAUGCCCACUUUCCUUUAACUAACUGCUCUCUCCUUCGUUUCCCUCCUCAACAACACAUCACACAGAAGAUGCAUAAUUCUUGACCUUCAAUAUCAUCAGACACAUCUCUCGAAAUCCCAAGCCAAGCGCUACCACCAGUCACAAUGAAGCAGCUACACAAACAAUCAAGCGCAAAUCACCACCGUAGAGACGAAGAAAUCCCCACAUCACAACCAUCACCGUACUCUCCAAAAACCCUAAAACACCCGAGAUCUCUCCCUAGAUCCAUCAACUACCUCUUCAAAGAACAGCGCCUUCUCUUCAUUCUCGUUGGAAUCUUAAUCGGCUCCACUUUCUUCAUCCUCCAGCCAACUCUCUCCCGCCUCAGCCCAUCGGAGGCCCAGUCUUCUCUCUCCAGAUCCAUCCCCAUCCAUUCUUCAUCAUUAUUCCAGAAACAGUCUUUUUCUGGCCCCGGCGGUCGUGUUCCAGCUGGCAUUACUCGGCGUAGGCUGCGGAUAGUUGUUACUGGUGGGGCUGGUUUUGUUGGGAGUCAUUUAGUUGACAAGUUGAUUUCGCGUGGAGAUGAGGUUAUUGUGAUUGAUAACUUUUUUACUGGUAGAAAGGAUAAUUUGGUCCAUUUAUUUGGGAAUCCAAGAUUUGAGUUAAUCAGACAUGAUGUUGUUGAGCCUAUUUUGUUAGAAGUCGAUCACAUCUAUCAUUUAGCUUGCCCUGCUUCUCCUGUUCAUUAUAAGUACAAUCCUGUCAAGACCAUUAAGACGAAUGUGAUGGGUACACUUAAUAUGUUGGGUUUAGCAAAGAGGGUUGGCGCAAGGUUUUUGCUUACUAGUACAAGUGAGGUGUAUGGAGACCCACUUGAGCACCCGCAAAAGGAGACUUACUGGGGAAAUGUUAAUCCAAUAGGCGAGAGGAGUUGCUAUGAUGAAGGAAAACGGACAGCGGAAACUUUAACUAUGGAUUAUCACCGAGGUGCAGAUGUUGAGGUGCGCAUUGCUCGCAUUUUUAAUACAUAUGGACCUCGCAUGUGUUUGGAUGAUGGCCGUGUUGUUAGCAAUUUUGUUGCUCAGGCCAUUCGCAAACAACCUUUGACUGUUUAUGGUGAUGGGAAACAAACCAGGAGCUUCCAAUAUGUUUCUGAUUUGGUUGAUGGACUGGUCGCGUUAAUGGAAAGCGAACAUGUGGGGCCUUUCAAUCUUGGCAACCCGGGGGAAUUCACCAUGCUGGAACUUGCUGAGGUCGUCAAAGAAACAAUCGAUUCAAGUGCAACAAUAGAAUUCAAGCCAAAUACUGCAGAUGAUCCACAUAAGAGGAAACCAGAUAUCAGCAAAGCGAAGGAGCUACUGAACUGGGAGCCAAAAAUAUCAUUGAGAGAUGGUUUGCCCCUCAUGGUGAACGAUUUCCGGAAUCGCAUUUUGAAUGAAGAUGAAGGGAAGGGAUUUAAAUGAAAUAGCUGAAAAACCUGCGUGUAUAGUGUGAAGACCUCAUCUGUAUCCUGAUUCUUUUCUUGACUGUCAUAAUUUACGUCACUGGAGUUUUGUAGCAGUAUCCCUACAGGAAGAUGUCUCUGUUAUUUGGGAAAAUGAAGGAUUAAAAAGAUAGUAGCCGGAGCUUGCAAGUAGGCAGACAGGGUCUGAUUUGAUCCCCACAAGUCGUAUAUCACAGUGAGUGAGAAUGAUAAAGCUACUUCACUAUAAUUAAAUUCACAUAUUCCUUCAAAACUCACUAAACUCUUUAUUUUAAAUUCAUAUUUUUAUUUCAA